UUUUACUCAAUACCCACGAUGUCGCACUCUAUGAAGCGUAAAAUAAAUGCAAUACAAUAUUGCAAGCUUGCAUGUUACGUGUUACUGAUGUUUGUUUACUCUCUGUUAAAUGAGAAAAAUCCAAGUAAAUUCAUCGUGGUCUGCGACUGAAAGUUCUCGAUCCAAGGGUUGUGUAUUCAAGUGAGUACUGGGAUCGUUCCAAUGGAAUUUACGACUCAUCCGCACGAAAGAACGGCACGAAUUCAUCAUUCGGGUCCAUGGCGAGUCUAGGGCGCAUUUGAGUACUCUUCUCGACUCUUCCCACUAGCGCCUAACUACUUCUUCCAUCUACAAGCGAAAUCUUCUUGCUACCAGACGAAGUGAGCAUAUCAUUCAGUCAGUAAGCUGUCGUCAUUUCUGUUCACCGAGCUUCAAGAGCUUCAGUUAGCGUUAAGUCAUCAGUUACUGAAGGAUCAUAUAUCCGCUGUGAGGACUACCGGAUCAAACGCAUGCAGUGUAUCCUUGGUAGGCAGUUAUUUUAUUGUUUAUUUUUUACUUCACUGAAACCACCCUGCAAGCAGAGCCUUUUCUUGCGGUACAUAUACUUUAUCCGCUCAAAAAAAAAAACGAUAAAAGAGGCUCUGCUCGCAGGGUGCAUUGAGACCAGAAUUUAUUCUUUUUCAACGAUUAAAAAGCGGCGCGUUCGAAAUAUUCAACGUGUUUCAGUUGCCAUUGUGUUCAAAAGCCGCUAUUAAUUUUCCUGUGAGUUUAAAAAAAAAAUGAUGAAACGUCGUUAAGGUUCACUUGGUAUACAUGUCUCAGACGUGCUUUUAAGAAAACACUAAAUGUUAAAACAUUUUAGCUUGAAAUAAAAAGAAAUACAGAAGCUCAAAGCCUCAAUCGAAUCGUGUUUUUAAUCACCCAACAUGCUACCGUGAAAGAAAACUUCAAACGGUUUAUUUUAAACAUAGGUCUUUGCAUUUUGGAUUAUCGGAGCACUGUAGCGGAAAAACUACUCGUUUGAUUAUAGAUAUUUCUAUUCUAAAACUGGAUAACUUUGAGUCAAGCCUACAACAUUUUCCAUCGCGAAAGACACAAUUCAUUUUGUAGUUGUGAUUAAAUAUUCCAAACACGAAAAGGCGACGGGACCGUUGACCUGUCACUUUGUUGUUUACGUUUAACUUUAGCUAAGGUAUAUUUCAUUGAGUAAAUAGUGUUCGCAAUUAGUUUUUUUUUAAGCUAAAUACUAUUGACACUUUCAUUCAUUCAUUCAUUCAUUCAUUCAUUCAUUCAUUCAUUAUUCAAACGCUUUCUAGUUUCUCUUUUUCGUAUCACAACACAUAUGAUGACAUGAUCACUGUUAUGGUUGCAGCAUCGAAUUAUCUUUUAAGGAAUUUUGACAGCACGUCUGAGACAGUGAGAGACAUGUAUACCAAGUGAACCUUAACGACGUUUCAUCAUUUUUUUUGAACUCACAGAUAGAUACCUCAAGUCACCCCAAAUACAUUUUUCAGGAGCAACAAAAAUUAAAUUUUUUUUUCAAAAUCUUGGUCAAGUUAUUGGAAUAUCGGAUGGAUUUUGUCCACAUUCUUUUUUAACAUUUGUCGAAAGGCUCAAGUUGAGUCCGUCGUUGUUUUAGUUUGCUUUUUAAUUUUAUUUUUUCUGUCAGCUUAGUAUUAUUUGGAUGGUAAAUAAUAGCGACAUUGUUUAUAAACCGCGACUGACAAUGAAAUAAGCAUAAUUUUGCCUUUCAAACUCACUCCAUUAAGUUGCUGGCCGGUUAUAUAUCGUUUCCACGAUAUUAGUUAUUCAGGAAAGUUACUGAUUCAGGUAAAAAUAUUUGCAUCGGAACGGACAUAUUAGUCCACCUCAACUCCAAUUCGCACUCGUUCCAAACAAUACUGAUAAACGCUUCAAUUGUCAGUUGAUUAUAAAUCUUCCCCAACUUGACACAAAGCAGUUUCUCCAAUCAGAAUAGACUGGCUGUGUGUUCGACGAUACAGUCCUGAAAUCGACUGAAAGAUUAGUCUUUCCUCAGGAAAUUUUAUUGCUUUAUUCACAAUGUCAAUGAACCCCAAGAGGUUUGCCACAUGCCAAAACUUUCGACAUAAUUGCUAGCGGAGAAAUCAACACAUGAAUUGUCAGAUUGAAACAACUCACUGCUCUCGUUUAGUUCCGAAUCAGUUUUAUUUAUUUGUCCUACAGAGUGAAAAGGUUACGGUUGUUGUCACACUCAAAGAAACAAAUUGGACAAAAACAUAAACCCGACAUUCACAAUGCUUUAUACUAAAGGAAUUUCAGAGCUUUGUUUCAAAAACUGACUCUGUCUCAUUAGCAUCAAGGAUAUAGCCUCUUUUUAGUAAGACUAGCCGAAUUAAGUACAGGUCCCUUCAAUACAGAUUAUCUGGGUUCUUUAGAUCUUUUGUAAACAUUUUCCAUUUUCGAAUCCUUGAAAGUAUAAAAGGCGUUUUCUUUACGUGAGAAAAAUCCGUGCUCAGGUUUUCUUUGUUUGGAUCAAGAAAAGGCAACAUCAAUUUGAGUAAAAAUCUUUCCCUGACUAAACGGGACAUGUUGCAAUACAUUUGUCAAACUUUUCAAAGAGUUGUAUUGAAACUGAAGAAAGCACUAUCCAGAGCAAAGAUAUAUAUGUUAUUUGCCGGUUGGGAGGUCGGUAUACGGACCGACCAAGGCCGGCAAAUAACGUGUCUUUUUUUUUUUUCUACAGUAUCGCUUUGAAAGCAACUUUUAUGUUUCCUUUCAGUUCAAAUCUGGCGUACGCGUGAGUUUCAGGCACAACUGAAGAGCGACACUGU
Molecule: long non-coding RNA, 2792 nt
Filed under: Orbicella faveolata
Lineage: Eukaryota; Metazoa; Cnidaria; Anthozoa; Scleractinia; Merulinidae
Description: uncharacterized LOC110047220
Source: RNAcentral